Non-coding RNA from Lingula anatina, 46 nucleotides. NCBI's taxonomy places the organism in Eukaryota, Metazoa, Brachiopoda, Lingulata, Lingulida, Lingulidae. The record is from Rfam.
CAAACGGUCCUUUUCAGGACCACCCAUGUUUUCCAAGAAAAGCUAU